Molecule: unclassified non-coding RNA, 395 nt
Filed under: soil metagenome
Description: partial contains 5.8S ribosomal RNA, internal transcribed spacer 2, and large subunit ribosomal RNA
Rfam family: 5.8S ribosomal RNA (bases 1-122)
Source: RNAcentral
GAUGAAGAACGUAGCGAAAUGCGAUACUUGGUGUGAAUUGCAGAAUCCCGUGAACCAUCGAGUCUUUGAACGCAAGUUGCGCCCGAAGCCAUCAGGUUGAGGGCACGUCUGCCUGGGCGUCACAUAUCGUUGCCCAAUGCCUAUUGCAGUGCAAUAGGAAUUUCUAGGGCGAAUGAUGGCUUCCCGUGAGCGUUGUUGCCUCGCGGUUGGUUGAAAAUCGAGUCCUUGGUAGGGUGUGCCAUGGUAGAUGGUGGUCGAGUUAGAACGAUACCGAUCAUGUGCAUGCUCCCCAAAAUAUGGCCUCUAUGACCCACACGCGUCUUUUGACGCUCAUGACGAGACCUCAGGUCAGGCGGGGCUACCCGCUGAAUUUAAGCAUACCAAUAAGCGGAGGA